AAAGCGAGCGGCGGAUGGGUGAGUAACACGUGGGGAACCUGCCCCUAAGUCUGGGAUACCAUUUGGAAACAGGUGCUAAUACCGGAUAAUAAAGCAGAUCGCAUGAUCAGCUUUUGAAAGGCGGCGUAAGCUGUCGCUAAGGGAUGGCCCCGCGGUGCAUUAGCUAGUUGGUAAGGUAACGGCUUACCAAGGCGACGAUGCAUAGCCGAGUUGAGAGACUGAUCGGCCACAUUGGGACUGAGACACGGCCCAAACUCCUACGGGAGGCAGCAGUAGGGAAUCUUCCACAAUGGACGCAAGUCUGAUGGAGCAACGCCGCGUGAGUGAAGAAGGUUUUCGGAUCGUAAAGCUCUGUUGUUGGUGAAGAAGGAUAGAGGUAGUAACUGGCCUUUAUUUGACGGUAAUCAACCAGAAAGUCACGGCUAACUACGUGCCAGCAGCCGCGGUAAUACGUAGGUGGCAAGCGUUGUCCGGAUUUAUUGGGCGUAAAGCGAGCGCAGGCGGAAAAAUAAGUCUAAUGUGAAAGCCCUCGGCUUAACCGAGGAACUGCAUCGGAAACUGUUUUUCUUGAGUGCAGAAGAGGAGAGUGGAACUCCAUGUGUAGCGGUGGAAUGCGUAGAUAUAUGGAAGAACACCAGUGGCGAAGGCGGCUCUCUGGUCUGCAACUGACGCUGAGGCUCGAAAGCAUGGGUAGCGAACAGGAUUAGAUACCCUGGUAGUCCAUGCCGUAAACGAUGAGUGCUAAAGUGUUGGGAGGUUUCCGCCUCUCA
Molecule: ribosomal RNA, 770 nt
Filed under: uncultured bacterium
Lineage: Bacteria
Description: bacterial SSU rRNA
Rfam family: Bacterial small subunit ribosomal RNA
Source: RNAcentral